UUCGGGAAACCGGAGCUAAUACCGGAUACGUUCUUUUCUCGCAUGAGAGAAGAUGGAAAGACGGUUUACGCUGUCACUUAUAGAUGGGCCCGCGGCGCAUUAGCUAGUUGGUGAGGUAAUGGCUCACAAGGCGCGACGAUGGUUAGCCGACCUGAGAGGGUGAUCGGCCACACUGGGACUGAGACACGGCCCAGACUCCUACGGGAGGCAGCAGUAGGGAAUCUUCCGCAGUGGACGAAAGUCUGACGGAGCAACGCCGUGUGAACGAAGAAGGCCUUCGGGUCGUAAAGUUCUGUUGUUAGGGAAGAACAAGUACCAGAGUAACUGCUGGUACCUUGACGGUACCUAACCAGAAAGCCACGGCUAACUACGUGCCAGCAGCCGCGGUAAUACGUAGGUGGCAAGCGUUGUCCGGAAUUAUUGGGCGUAAAGCGCGCGCAGGUGGUUCCUUAAGUCUGAUGUGAAAGCCCACGGCUCAACCGUGGAGGGUCAUUGGAAACUGGGGAACUUGAGUGCAGAAGAGGAAAGUGGAAUUCCAAGUGUAGCGGUGAAAUGCGUAGAGAUUUGGAGGAACACCAGUGGCGAAGGCGACUUUCUGGUCUGUAACUGACACUGAGGCGCGAAAGCGUAGGGAGCAAACAGGAUUAGAUACCCUGGUAGUCCACGCCGUAAACGAUGAGUGCUAAGU
RNAcentral lists this ribosomal RNA (688 nucleotides) under Peribacillus muralis. RNAcentral's name for it is "bacterial SSU rRNA". It matches the Rfam family "Bacterial small subunit ribosomal RNA", at positions 148 to 821 of the family's 1533-position model. The record is from RNAcentral. Lineage: Bacteria; Bacillati; Bacillota; Bacilli; Caryophanales; Bacillaceae.